GGGCAAUCUCUGAGUGUCAGCUUCCCAAGGUGAUGAAUAGGCUGAAAGUGAAAGAAAAAAAGGCACAGCGAAGAGUAAAGCUGCCUGUUACAACCUCCAUCAAGCAAGUGGGAAAAUGCUUCAGCUCUGAGAGACUGACUCAGGGUACCGAAGAGAAUGUUCUUGAAAAGAAUUGUUUGCCACUGGGGUUAGGAGGAAGCAUGUCCCAAGAUGCAACCUUAUCUAAAAGAGCAAACCUCUAUUCACCGUUCUUCAAGAUGAUAUCCCAAAGUGUAGAGAAGCACCAAAGCAGAAGGGUCACCAGCUGCACAGAAAAGACAGUUACUUAUCUGGAUCACAAUGCAAAGAGCAGUUCAAGCAGGGAAGAAAGAAAAGUGAAGAACAGGUCACCACUGAAAAGUUCAAGGUCCUGCCGAAACAGGACAACAAACCAAGGAGCGAAUGUUAGGAUGAUCAAGUCAUGCCAGACACAAGAAUCACUGCAGCUUUCUCUCCCUAUCGUGCCUGGUGCAAAGGGCAGGGAAUCCAAUGAAAAGUGUCAUGAGAGUGAACC
This is a long non-coding RNA of Chelonoidis abingdonii (Abingdon island giant tortoise), 553 nucleotides long. The record is from Ensembl. NCBI's taxonomy places the organism in Eukaryota, Metazoa, Chordata, Testudines, Testudinidae.